Molecule: ribosomal RNA, 495 nt
Filed under: uncultured bacterium
Lineage: Bacteria
Description: partial 16S ribosomal RNA
Rfam family: Bacterial small subunit ribosomal RNA
Source: RNAcentral
GACGAACGCUGGCGGCGUGCCUAAUACAUGCAAGUAGAACGCUGAAGGAGGAGCUUGCUUCUCUGGAUGAGUUGCGAACGGGUGAGUAACGCGUAGGUAACCUGCCUGGUAGUGGGGGAUAACUAUUGGAAACGAUAGCUAAUACCGCAUAAUAGCAGUUGUUGCAUGAUAACUGUUUGAAAGGUGCAAUUGCACCGCUGCCAGAUGGACCUGCGUUGUAUUAGCUAGUUGGUGGGGUAACGGCUCACCAAGGCGACGAUACAUAGCCGACCUGAGAGGGUGAUCGGCCACACUGGGACUGAGACACGGCCCAGACUCCUACGGGAGGCAGCAGUAGGGAAUCUUCGGCAAUGGACGGAAGUCUGACCGAGCAACGCCGCGUGAGUGAAGAAGGUUUUCGGAUCGUAAAGCUCUGUUGUAAGAGAAGAACGAGUGUGAGAGUGGAAAGUUCACACUGUGACGGUAUCUUACCAGAAAGGGACGGCUAACUACGUG